UUAAGUGACUAAGCGUACACGGUGGAUGCCUUGGCAGUCAGAGGCGAUGAAAGACGUAGUAACUUGCGAUAAGCCCAGAUUAGGUAGUAACAACCAUUUGAGUCUGGGAUUUCUGAAUGGGGAAACCCACGUGCAUAAGCACGUAUCCUUACCUGAAUACAUAGGGUAAGGAGGCGUACCGGGGGAACUGAAACAUCUAAGUACCCCGAGGAAAAGAAAUCAACCGAGAUUCCGAAAGUAGCGGCGAGCGAAAUUGGACUAGCCCUUAAGCUUUACACGCGUUAGACGAACGGUCUGGAAAGUCCGACGAUACAGGGUGAUAGUCCCGUAGUUGACGACGUGUGUUCAGUGAAAUCGAGUAGGGCGGGACACGUGAUAUCCUGUCUGAAUAUGGGGGGACCAUCCUCCAAGGCUAAAUACUACUGACUGACCGAUAGUGAACCAGUACCGUGAGGGAAAGGCGAAAAGAACCCCUGUGAGGGGAGUGAAAUAGAACCUGAAACCGUGUACGUACAAGCAGUAGGAGCAGGCUUUGUCCUGUGACUGCGUACCUUUUGUAUAAUGGGUCAGCGACUUAUAUUCAGUGGCAAGGUUAACCAUCUAGGGGAGCCGUAGGGAAACCGAGUCUUAACUGGGCGUUCAGUCUCUGGAUAUAGACCCGAAACCAGGUGAUCUAGCCAUGGGCAGGUUGAAGGUUGAGUAACAUCAACUGGAGGACCGAACCGACUAAUGUUGAAAAAUUAGCGGAUGACUUGUGGCUAGGGGUGAAAGGCCAAUCAAACCUGGAGAUAGCUGGUUCUCCCCGAAAGCUAUUUAGGUAGCGCCUCGGACGAAUACUACUGGGGGUAGAGCACUGUUAAGGCUAGGGGGUCAUCCCGACUUACCAACCCUUUGCAAACUCCGAAUACCAGUAAGUACUAUCCGGGAGACACACGGCGGGUGCUAACGUCCGUCGUGGAGAGGGAAACAACCCAGACCGCCAGCUAAGGUCCCAAAUUACUACUAAGUGGGAAACGAUGUGGGAAGGCUCAGACAGCCAGGAUGUUGGCUUAGAAGCAGCCAUCAUUUAAAGAAAGCGUAAUAGCUCACUGGUCGAGUCGGCCUGCGCGGAAGAUGUAACGGGGCUAAGUAGUAAACCGAAGCUGCGGCAAUAUACUUUUGUAUAUUGGGUAGGGGAGCGUUCUGUAAGCGGUUGAAGGUGUGUGGUAACGCAUGCUGGACGUAUCAGAAGUGCGAAUGCUGACAUGAGUAACGAUAAAGGGGGUGAAAAACCUCCUCGCCGGAAGACCAAGGGUUCCUGUCCAACGUUAAUCGGGGCAGGGUAAGUCGACCCCUAAGGCGAGGCCGAAAGGCGUAGUCGAUGGGAAACGGGUUAAUAUUCCCGUACUUCUUACAAUUGCGAUGGGGGGACGGAGAAGGCUAGGUGGGCCUGGCGACGGUUGUCCAGGUUCAAGUGCGUAGGCUUAAGAGUUAGGUAAAUCCGGCUCUUUUUAAGGCUGAGACACGACGUCGAGCACCUACGGGUGUGAAGUCAUUGAUGCCAUGCUUCCAGGAAAAGCCUCUAAGCUUCAGAUUGUAAGGAAUCGUACCCCAAACCGACACAGGUGGUCGGGUAGAGAAUACCAAGGCGCUUGAGAGAACUCGGGUGAAGGAACUAGGCAAAAUGGUACCGUAACUUCGGGAGAAGGUACGCUCUUGAUGGUGAAGUCCCUCGCGGAUGGAGCUGACGAGAGUCGCAGAUACCAGGUGGCUGCAACUGUUUAUUAAAAACACAGCACUGUGCAAAAUCGUAAGAUGACGUAUACGGUGUGACGCCUGCCCGGUGCCGGAAGGUUAAUUGAUGGGGUUAGACUUCGGUCGAAGCUCUUGAUCGAAGCCCCGGUAAACGGCGGCCGUAACUAUAACGGUCCUAAGGUAGCGAAAUUCCUUGUCGGGUAAGUUCCGACCUGCACGAAUGGCGUAAUGAUGGCCACGCUGUCUCCACCCGAGACUCAGUGAAAUUGAAAUCGCUGUGAAGAUGCAGUGUACCCGCGGCUAGACGGAAAGACCCCGUGAACCUUUACUACAGCUUGGCACUGAACAUUGACCCUACAUGUGUAGGAUAGGUGGGAGGCUUUGAAGCACGUACGCCAGUAUGUGUGGAGCCGUCCUUGAAAUACCACCCUUGUAGUGUUGAUGUUCUAACGUCGACCCCUUAUCGGGGUUGCGGACAGUGCCUGGUGGGUAGUUUGACUGGGGCGGUCUCCUCCCAAAGAGUAACGGAGGAGCACGAAGGUGGGCUAAUCACGGUUGGACAUCGUGAGGUUAGUGCAAUGGCAUAAGCCCGCUUGACUGCGAGAAUGACAAUUCGAGCAGGUGCGAAAGCAGGUCAUAGUGAUCCGGUGGUUCUGAAUGGAAGGGCCAUCGCUCAACGGAUAAAAGGUACUCCGGGGAUAACAGGCUGAUACCGCCCAAGAGUUCAUAUCGACGGCGGUGUUUGGCACCUCGAUGUCGGCUCAUCACAUCCUGGGGCUGAAGUCGGUCCCAAGGGUAUGGCUGUUCGCCAUUUAAAGUGGUACGCGAGCUGGGUUUAGAACGUCGUGAGACAGUUCGGUCCCUAUCUGCCGUGGGCGUUGGAAGAUUGAAGGGGGCUGCUCCUAGUACGAGAGGACCGGAGUGGACGAACCUCUGGUGUUCGGGUUGUGUCGCCAGACGCAUUGCCCGGUAGCUAAGUUCGGAAUCGAUAACCGCUGAAAGCAUCUAAGCGGGAAGCGAGCCCUGAGAUGAGUCUUCCCUGAUACUUUAAGUAUCCUAAAGGGUUGUCGGAGACUACGACGUUGAUAGGUCAGGUGUGUAAGUGCUGUGAGGCAUUGAGCUAACUGAUACUAAUUGCCCGUGAGGCUUAACCAU
This 2889-nucleotide ribosomal RNA is filed under the name Vibrio parahaemolyticus. Its description in RNAcentral is "bacterial LSU rRNA". It matches the Rfam family "Bacterial large subunit ribosomal RNA". Lineage: Bacteria; Pseudomonadati; Pseudomonadota; Gammaproteobacteria; Vibrionales; Vibrionaceae. The record is from RNAcentral.